GACGAACGCUGGCGGCGUGCCUAAUACAUGCAAGUCGAGCGAGAAAGAUUGGAGCUUGCUUCAAUCGAUCUAGCGGCGGACGGGUGAGUAACACGUGGGCAACCUGCCCUUAAGAUUGGGAUAACUUCGGGAAACCGGAGCUAAUACCGAAUAGGAAUAAGAAGUACAUACUUUUUAUUGGAAAGUUGGCGCAAGCUAACACUUAAGGAUGGGCCCGCGUCGCAUUAGCUAGUUGGUAAGGUAACGGCUUACCAAGGCGACGAUGCGUAGCCGACCUGAGAGGGUGAUCGGCCACACUGGGACUGAGACACGGCCCAGACUCCUACGGGAGGCAGCAGUAGGGAAUCUUCGGCAAUGGACGAAAGUCUGACCGAGCAACGCCGCGUGAGUGAAGAAGGUUUUCGGAUCGUAAAGCUCUGUUGUAGGGGAAGAAAUGCUAGUAGAUGAAUAAGCUAUUAGCUUGACGGUACCCUAUUAGAAAGCCACGGCUAACUACGUGCCAGCCGCCGC
Molecule: ribosomal RNA, 510 nt
Filed under: uncultured bacterium
Lineage: Bacteria
Description: bacterial SSU rRNA
Rfam family: Bacterial small subunit ribosomal RNA
Source: RNAcentral